RNAcentral lists this long non-coding RNA (1050 nucleotides) under Bos indicus x Bos taurus (hybrid cattle). RNAcentral's name for it is "lncRNA (ENSBIXG00005028654.1)". Lineage: Eukaryota; Metazoa; Chordata; Mammalia; Artiodactyla; Bovidae. The record is from RNAcentral.
GCCAGCUUGAAUCCUCCGAUCGCCGGGCUCCCGAAGCUUGUAGCCCCAGGGUGGAUGAAGGUACAGCGAGCCACACCCGGGUCCACAGUGAGUCCCUCCGGCCCUAGGUCUGGGCAGCCAGACCUUUGCCCUGGUUGGUUCGCAGGCAGCAGAUGCCUGCGUCCUUUGAGAGCCGUCCCUGACGGACUCUCUGCAGCCCCGCCAGCUUAUCUGGAAGCGGCCCCCGCGCCAUCUGGACCCGAGAAUCCGAGCCCUCCGGUCUGGCCCGUCAUUUCACUCGAGUCAGCGAAGAUUUAUGGCCCCGUGCAGUGCACCAGCCCCCAUCAGGGUCUGCGCCGGGCAUGGGCCAGGGGACCCACGGCGCGGGCUGUCCAUCAGCCUGUCCGGGAGCAGUGGGGGUCCUCCUCCCGAGGCUUCCUGCCAGGACGGGCAGACGUUGCACAGCACGUCCGGCCCGAAGCGAGUGUUUCCUUUGGCAGAAGGUUCUCUUCGCCGAGGCUGCGUCAGCCAGAAAGGCUGGGAUUGCAGAAGAUCAAGAAACCGUCCUUUUCGUCUUCAACUCACCUGUCGGGCACGGUCCCGUCUCACCUUUACCACAAAGCGACAGCACAUUCGGGGUUAAAAUCACUCAUCCUCCGUCUGCGGCAAAAGAUCUCGGUGUGGGGAGGUGAGGGCGGGGGCGGGGGGGCGGCCAGGACGGCUCUGUCCCGGGUUUCACACGCGGUUGCUGUCCCAGAAACGCACGCUCGAUGCCAGGGGCCCCGGCUCCUGCUUGACGCGUCGGGCCAGGUGCCCCCGCGGCACCCGCUCCUGGAGGCACAGCCUUCUGAAGCUCGGGGCCCAGCCCCUCCCAUCCAAGAACACGGCUGUCAGAGGGAACCCACCGUUCCGCACACAGGGUUUAUCGACCGCCCGGAAAGCAGCCAUUCCGCCAGUCUCAACCGCUCCACUGCCGUUGCAGGGCACAGAACUGCCGGCGCGUUUUCACAAGAGUGCGCGCACCAGGCGCUGGAUCCAAGAGCACGGCCGCAGGUGGUGCUCGCACAGUGA